This 276-nucleotide ribosomal RNA is filed under the name uncultured bacterium. Its description in RNAcentral is "partial 16S ribosomal RNA". It matches the Rfam family "Bacterial small subunit ribosomal RNA", at positions 77 to 353 of the family's 1533-position model. The record is from RNAcentral.
CAAACUGAAGAUGGCGACCGGCGCACGGGUGAGUAACACGUAUCCAACCUGCCGAUAACUCCGGAAUAGCCUUUCGAAAGAAAGAUUAAUACCGGACGGCAUACGAAUAUCGCAUGAUAUUUUUAUUAAAGAAUUUCGGUCAUCGAUGGGGAUGCGUUCCAUUAGGUUGUUGGCGGGGUAACGGCCCACCAAGCCUUCGAUGGAUAGGGGUUCUGAGAGGAAGGUCCCCCACAUUGGAACUGAGACACGGUCCAAACUCCUACGGGAGGCAGCAUG